Molecule: ribosomal RNA, 449 nt
Filed under: uncultured bacterium
Lineage: Bacteria
Description: bacterial SSU rRNA
Rfam family: Bacterial small subunit ribosomal RNA
Source: RNAcentral
GGAUUGUAAACUCCUGUCGUUAGGGACGAUAAUGACGGUACCUAACAAGAAAGCACCGGCUAACUACGUGCCAGCAGCCGCGGUAAAACGUAGGGUGCAAGCGUUGUCCGGAAUUACUGGGUGUAAAGGGAGCGCAGGCGGACCGGCAAGUUGGAAGUGAAAACUAUGGGCUCAACCCAUAAAUUGCUUUCAAAACUGCUGGCCUUGAGUAGUGCAGAGGUAGGUGGAAUUCCCGGUGUAGCGGUGGAAUGCGUAGAUAUCGGGAGGAACACCAGUGGCGAAGGCGACCUACUGGGCACCAACUGACGCUGAGGCUCGGAAGCAUGGGUAGCAAACAGGAUUAGAUACCCUGGUAGUCCCACGCCGUAAACGCAUGCAUUCACUAGGUGUUGGAGGAUUGACCCCUUCAGUGCCGCAGUUCACACAAUAAGUCAUCCACCUGGGGAGUA